GGUUUAAUUCGAAGCAACGCGAAGAACCUUACCAGGUCUUGACAUCCCUCUGACCGCUCUAGAGAUAGAGUUUUCCUUCGGGACAGAGGUGACAGGUGGUGCAUGGUUGUCGUCAGCUCGUGUCGUGAGAUGUUGGGUUAAGUCCCGCAACGAGCGCAACCCCUAUUGUUAGUUGCCAUCAUUCAGUUGGGCACUCUAGCGAGACUGCCGGUAAUAAACCGGA
RNAcentral lists this ribosomal RNA (223 nucleotides) under uncultured bacterium. RNAcentral describes it as "partial 16S ribosomal RNA". It matches the Rfam family "Bacterial small subunit ribosomal RNA", at positions 943 to 1167 of the family's 1533-position model. The record is from RNAcentral.